Lepidothrix coronata (blue-crowned manakin) is the source of this 900-nucleotide long non-coding RNA. RefSeq lists it as uncharacterized. The transcript is spliced from 3 exons. Lineage: Eukaryota; Metazoa; Chordata; Aves; Passeriformes; Pipridae. The record is from RefSeq and is a predicted model, not a curated record.
AUGACUCCAAAGAACAGGAAUACUACACCAUUUUCUUCCUACUCCUGUUUAGAUUCUUUGUGAAAGACCGUAUUUUUGUUUCUUCCCAAAGCAAUACGUCUCUUGAGUCUGGUAAAUAUCUCUCCUGCAUUAGUCAAACCAGACCAAGUCAACCAACUUUAGCUGAUGUUGAAUGCUGUAAAAGCUUACAUGUAACCUGAAAAUAUGAAUUUUUGAAGUGUCAUAGUCAAAUUGAUAUCUACCUCGUUAUUUAAAUGCAGGUUUGUGAUAGUUUUCACCCUAGGCCUUCCUGGAGACCAGCUUGUUACCAGGAAGGAACUAGGAAGGUGACCCAGGAAGUAUUCCACGCUAUUCCUUUACGUAACCUGAGGUACAAAUAAGGCAUAGAUAAGAGAGCUUGCUCUCUUCCUUUCCAGUAAGGUUUGAGAACGGUGGGUCCCUGCCUCGGUCUUGCUUAUCUGGAGCUGAGGCCUGCAGUGACUGCUGAUGUCUGCCACGUGUGAGGGGAGGGUGCUGGGCCGUGUCCAACCAUCCUGCUUCUCUCAAGGGAAGUGAAGACGUACAUUAAUGAUCAGGAAGCUGACCAAUUUACUUCUCUGUGGAAGCUAUGAAAUGGACUUUAAAAGUCACAGCAUGAACCAUGGAUUUCAAAGUGGUCUGUACAAGCUGUAGGGGUCCACUUGUGCACAUCUUACAAUCGGACUCUAGCUCAAUGCAAUUCUCAGCAGUCUCUGUUGAACAAUAACUACAACACCCAACAAUGUGAGCUUUUGAACGUAACUUCUUGGCAACAUUCCACUUCAAACUGAGGAAAUGACUGAACCUCACUGGCAUGAUUUAUUUGUGCUGAACCCAAGGCAAACACUAGUUGACUAUUUAGGUCAUUGCUUUGUAAAAUAC